Molecule: long non-coding RNA, 791 nt
Organism: Folsomia candida
Lineage: Eukaryota; Metazoa; Arthropoda; Collembola; Entomobryomorpha; Isotomidae
Exons: 2
Source: RefSeq, a predicted model, not a curated record
CUCAAAGCUCUAAAAAAGAUUUGAUUUUUCUGCUCAUCGCUCAUUCUGAUCAUUUCUGCUCGGCUGUGCGCAUGCGAUUUCGCUCAAAAUCAGAUUUUCUUGCUCAACAAAAAAAUCGAGUUUUGGGUUGAUUUUUUCUCUCAUAAUCCUGCUCAUUCUGCUCCACAUCAGCACAUCAGUUGUUUGUUUACUUCAAUUUUUCGUUUAAAAAUUAAGUAAAGUUCUCUAAAACAUAUUCUUUAUCAUUAUGGGUCCCAAGACCCAGGUUAAGCGUACCAGUGUCGAAAAAGUUGCAAAUCCCGUAAUUUGUUGUAACAAAAGUAGCGUCGUGGAGGUAGGCGGCCGAAAAAUAUUUCGUUGGACAGCACAAGUAAAAAUUGACAUGGCAUAUUAUGUCGUCAACAAUAACACCUCAUUUAAGCAGGUGACCAACCGCACUGAAUUCCUUCGUCGUCUCCAAGAUGCUUUGCCCUUAAUUGCGAAGAAAGUCAAAUAAAAAAUGGAUUUGACAGAUUUCUUAAAACGUACACAGAGACUAAAGAGAAGUUAAACCAGUCGGGUUUUGGGAUUGACCCUGAGAAAGACGAAACUCUGGACAAAAGUGCGGUCAUUUCUUUCAAUUACAUCAAAUCUAAUGAUUUUCAAUGCGAUAAAAUUACGAUUCAGCGAAGCCGAAAUAAAAAUACUGGAACUCAAAAUUAAAUUGGAAACUAUUACAUCUAAAUUUUAAGCAUUUGAUUUAUACAUAAAAUUGUUUAUUGCUGCUAUAUAAAAUGAAUUAUUUGAGAUAA